CGAACGCUGGCGGCGUGCUUAACACAUGCAAGUCGACCGGAAAGGCCCUGCUUUUGUGGGGUGCUCGAGUGGCGAACGGGUGAGUAACACGAGAGUAACCUGCCCUUGACUUUGGGAUAACUUCAGGAAACUGGGGCUAAUACCGGAUAGGAGCUCCUGCUGCAUGGUGGGGGUUGGAAAGUUUCGGCGGUUGGGGAUGGACUCGCGGCUUAUCAGCUUGUUGGUGGGGUAGUGGCUUACCAAGGCUUUGACGGGUAGCCGGCCUGAGAGGGUGACCGGCCACAUUGGGACUGAGAUACGGCCCAGACUCCUACGGGAGGCAGCAGUGGGGAAUAUUGCACAAUGGGCGGAAGCCUGAUGCAGCAACGCCGCGUGCGGGAUGACGGCCUUCGGGUUGUAAACCGCUUUCGCCUGUGACGAAGCGUGAGUGACGGUAAUGGGUAAAGAAGCACCGGCUAACUACGUG
This 466-nucleotide ribosomal RNA is filed under the name uncultured bacterium. RNAcentral's name for it is "partial 16S ribosomal RNA". It matches the Rfam family "Bacterial small subunit ribosomal RNA", at positions 30 to 507 of the family's 1533-position model. The record is from RNAcentral.